Molecule: ribosomal RNA, 379 nt
Filed under: uncultured bacterium
Lineage: Bacteria
Description: bacterial SSU rRNA
Rfam family: Bacterial small subunit ribosomal RNA
Source: RNAcentral
AACGAACGCUGGCGGCAUGCCUAACACAUGCAAGUCGAACGAGACCUUCGGGUCUAGUGGCGCACGGGUGCGUAACGCGUGGGAAUCUGCCCUUGGGUUCGGGAAUAACUCAGAGAAAUUUGAGCUAAUACCGGAUGAUGACGAAAGUCCAAAGAUUUAUCGCCCAGGGAUGAGCCCGCGUAAGAUUAGCUUGUUGGUGGGGUAAUGGCCUUACCAAGGCGACGAUCUCUAGCUGGUCUGAGAGGAUGGAUCAGCCACACUGGGACUGAGACACGGCCCAGACUCCUACGGGAGGCAGCAGUGGGGAAUAUUGGACAAUGGGCGCAAGCCUGAUCCAGCGAAUGCCGCGUGAGUGAUGAAGGCCUUAGGGUUGCAAAGC